UAAAAAAAUUCAAGUUCUUAGACCACAUUCUUUCUGUGUCAGAAACCUAUGCUGUGUCAAAUAUUUAAUAACAAUCCAAAUUCAGAGCUGUAUCAAGCUUGAAUGUUGUGUCCAUACUUGCCCCAACUGUUCAGGGUUCGACCUCUGCGGUCGUAUCAAGCUGCGCCCCAGCGAAGCAUUUUAUUUUCACUCAUAUAAUCAGUUUUCCAAACUGUUUUUAGUCAUGCUUGAAGAUAUUGACAUGAUAUUUACUUUUUGUUUACACCAUGACAAGUUAUAGAAAAAGUUAACAUUUUGUUCCAGUAAAAUGAAUUUUUACCUGGUAGGUGACUAUGUAUUGCCAUGCAAUACUCUCAGAAUGCUUGUUUAGAAAUGUAUAUAGCUGCUUUUAAGACUAUCAUAUAUUAAAAAAAGGAUACAACAUGUUGUAUAGCUAUUUUUUAUACGACCGCAACGGUCGUAUAUUGGUAUGACGUUGGCGUCGUCGUCGUCCGAAGACACAUUGGUUUUCGCACUCUAACUUUAGUUUAAGUGAAUGGAUCUCUAUGAAAUUUUACCAUAAGGUUCAAUACCACAAAAGGAAGGUGGGGAUUGAUUUUGGGGGUUAUGGUACCAACAGUUAAGGAAUUAGGGGCCAAAAAGGGGCCAAAAAUAAGCAUUUUUUUGUUUCCAGACAAUAACUGUGGAACAGUGUAUGGAUCUCUCUGAAAUUAUACUACAAGUUUCCAUACCACAAAGGGAUGGUUAGGAUUUGGUUUGGGGGGUUAUGGCUCAAACCGUUUAAGAAUUAGGGGCAAAAAAGGGGGAAAAACAAGGUUGUCCUGGUUAAUGGACAAAUACUUUAGUACAAAACAUAAUUUAAAGCAGUGUAAGGGAGAUAAAUCAAAUACAUCAUUGAAAUUAUCUCCCUUACACUGCUAUUAAAUUAUGUAUAAAGUAAUGGUUAAUGAACAAUUAAGAUAAUUUAAAACAGUGUAAGGGAGGUAAUCCAAAUACAACGUUUUGGUUACUUCCCUUACACUGCUUUUAAAUUAUGUUUAAAGAAAUGCAGAUUUAUAAAGGAAGACCAGUAAAAAUAUCUGCAAAUGUUGCAUCUUUUUUUUUUACAAAAAAAUCCAUAUGAAAGAUUUGACACUAUAUUUUAAAUUCUAUUAUAAAAUAGAUUAAGUUAGCACUAUGGUAAAUUUAAAUGGGUAAUUAUGGCUGCAAAUUCCAUUGGAAAUUUGAAUUGAGAUUAUGACCAUAUCUUGAGGGAAAGAAUUUUUUAGGGGAAAGGGGGGGGGGGGGGGGGGGGGUAAAAAGAAA
This is a long non-coding RNA of Mytilus californianus (California mussel), 1305 nucleotides long. RefSeq lists it as uncharacterized. The transcript is spliced from 2 exons. The record is from RefSeq and is a predicted model, not a curated record. Lineage: Eukaryota; Metazoa; Mollusca; Bivalvia; Mytilida; Mytilidae.